Molecule: transfer RNA, 92 nt
Filed under: compost metagenome
Description: tRNA-Arg
Source: RNAcentral
GCAGCGCGCUGGCUGAUGGGCCAACCGGAUCCUUUUCUGAAGGAACUGAUAAAUUCUGGUACGUGUCUUGGUUCGACUCUUGGCACCCUGCG